RNAcentral lists this ribosomal RNA (422 nucleotides) under uncultured archaeon. RNAcentral describes it as "partial 16S ribosomal RNA". It matches the Rfam family "Archaeal small subunit ribosomal RNA", at positions 323 to 746 of the family's 1478-position model. The record is from RNAcentral.
CUACGGGUGGCUCCAGGCGAGAAAACUUUGCAAUGUGCGAAAGCACGACAAGGUUAAUCCGAGUGGUUUCUGCUAAAGGAACCUUUUGACAGUCCUAGAAACACUGUUGAAUAAGGGGUGGGCAAGUUCUGGUGUCAGCCGCCGCGGUAAAACCAGCACCUCAAGUGGUCAGGAUGAUUAUUGGGCCUAAAGCAUCCGUAGCCGGCUCGGUAAGUUUUCGGUUAAAUCUGUACGCUCAACGUACAGGCUGCCGGGAAUACUGCAGAGCUAGGGAGUGGGAGAGGUAGACGGUACUCGGUAGGAAGGGGUAAUAUCCUUUGAUCUAUUGAUGACCACCUGUGGCGAAGGCGGUCUACCAGAACACGUCCGACGGUGAGGGAUGAAAGCUGGGGGAGCAAACCGGAUUAGAUACCCGAGUAGUC